UAGUAGGUACUCAGAAAAAUUUGGAUUU
This 28-nucleotide non-coding RNA is filed under the name Mus musculus (house mouse). The record is from RNAcentral. Lineage: Eukaryota; Metazoa; Chordata; Mammalia; Rodentia; Muridae.